UUACUUCGAACCACCUCGUGACAACAUUAAGCUUGGGGCAGGCAAUACUCAUAAAUAUUGUGGUUAUCAUCAGGCAUCAGGUCACGACACGAAUGAAUGUUGUAGUUUAAAGGAAUUUAUGGAGAGGAAGGUCCAGAGUGGUGUGUUGGUCCAAUAUGUGGCCGAAAGAGAUCCCCAACAGGAACAAUCGAAUGAUGAUCGGACUGUUCAGGUAGUUCAACCAGUUCAACCUGCUCCAAAUCAGCCACCAAGGCACGCCGUUGAUGUUAUUACCGGGGGGACAGCAGGAAAGACGAUAGGGAAGAAAAGAC
RNAcentral lists this long non-coding RNA (311 nucleotides) under Panax ginseng (ginseng). Its description in RNAcentral is "long non-coding RNA (PGIN_LNC002245)". Lineage: Eukaryota; Viridiplantae; Streptophyta; Magnoliopsida; Apiales; Araliaceae. The record is from RNAcentral.